CCUACGGGAGGCAGCAGUGAGGAAUAUUGGUCAAUGGCCGCAAGGCUGAACCAGCCAAGUCGCGUGAAGGAAGAAGGUUCUAUGGUUUGUAAACUUCUUUUAUCAGGGAACAAAGGUAUCCACGUGUGGCUAUUUGCGUGUACCUUAAGAAAAAGCAUCGGCUAACUCCGUGCCAGCAGCCGCGGUAAUACGGAGGAUGCGAGCGUUAUCCGGAUUUAUUGGGUUUAAAGGGUGCGUAGGUGGGUUGUAAAGUCAGCGUGAAAAGGUCGGGGCUCAACCCAAGUGGGCCGUUGAAACGGGAGGACUGGAGUGUGUUAGAGGUAGGCGGAAGGAGUGGGGUAGCGGUGAAAUGCAUAGAGAUCACGCAGAACUCCGAUUGCGAAGGCAGCUUACUGAGCCAUAACUGACGCUGAGGCACGAAAGCGUGGGGAUCAAACAGGAUUAGAUACCCUUGUAGUC
This 459-nucleotide ribosomal RNA is filed under the name uncultured bacterium. Its description in RNAcentral is "partial 16S ribosomal RNA". It matches the Rfam family "Bacterial small subunit ribosomal RNA", at positions 338 to 795 of the family's 1533-position model. The record is from RNAcentral.